UUUACGGAGAGUUUGAUCCUGGCUCAGAACGAACGCUGGCGGCGUGCCUCAUACAUGCAAGUCGUGCGAGAAGCUCCCUGUAGCAAUACAGGGUGUGGAAAGCGGCGAACGGGUGAGUAACACGUGGGUAAUCUGCCUCAAAGUUAGGGAUAAGUCCUCGAAAGGGGAUCUAAUACCUGGUAAUAUCCCGGAAAGGCAUCUAUUCGGGUUUAAAGCUUCGCAAGAAGCGCUUUGAGAUGAACCCGCGUUCCAUUAGCUUGUUGGUGAGAUAACAGCCCACCAAGGCUAUGAUGGAUAGCCGGCCUGAGAGGGUGUCCGGCCACACUGGGACUGAGAUACGGCCCAGACUCCUACGGGAGGCAGCAGUAGGGAAUCUUGCGCAAUGGCCAAAUGGCUGACGCAGCGACGCCGCGUGGAGGAUGAAGUUCUUCGGAAUGUAAACUCCUGUUAGUGGGGAAGAAUAUCCCGCCUUUGGCGGGACUGACGGUACCCACAGAGGAAGCUCCGGCUAACUCCGUGCCAGCAGCCGCGGUAAUACGGGGGGAGCGAGCGUUGUUCGGAAUCACUGGGCGUAAAGGGCACGUAGGCGGGCAGAUAAGUCAGACGUGAAAUUUCACUGCUUAACAGAGAAACUGCGUUUGAAACUAUCUGUCUUGAGUACGGGAGAGGAAAGUGGAAUUCCUGGUGUAGCGGUGGAAUGCGUAGAUAUCAGGAGGAACACCGGUGGCGAAGGCGGCUUUCUAUCCCGAUACUGACGCUGAGGUGCGAAGGCUAGGGUAGCAAACAGGCUUAGAUACCCUGGUAGUCCUAGCGGUAAACGUUGGGCACUAGGUGUUGGUUCUUAAUGGAUCAGUGCCGAAGUUAAUACAUUAAGUGCCCCGCCUGGGGAGUACGAUCGCAAGGUUGAAACUCAAAGGAAUUGACGGGGGCCCGCACAAGCGGUGGAGCAUGUGGUUUAAUUCGAUGCAACGCGAAGAAUCUUACCCGGGCUUGACAUACGCCGGAAAGCCUUGGAAACAAGGUCCUCCUUCGGGACCGGUGUACAGGUGCUGCAUGGCUGUCGUCAGCUCGUGUCGUGAGAUGUUGA
This 1087-nucleotide ribosomal RNA is filed under the name Candidatus Zixiibacteriota bacterium. Its description in RNAcentral is "bacterial SSU rRNA". It matches the Rfam family "Bacterial small subunit ribosomal RNA", at positions 1 to 1078 of the family's 1533-position model. Lineage: Bacteria; Pseudomonadati; Candidatus Zixiibacteriota. The record is from RNAcentral.